Molecule: ribosomal RNA, 420 nt
Filed under: uncultured bacterium
Lineage: Bacteria
Description: partial 16S ribosomal RNA
Rfam family: Bacterial small subunit ribosomal RNA
Source: RNAcentral
ACUACGGGAGGCAGCAGUGAGGAAUAUUGGUCAAUGGACGAGAGUCUGAACCAGCCAAGUAGCGUGAAGGAUGACUGCCCUAUGGGUUGUAAACUUCUUUUAUAUGGGAAUAAAACGUUCCACGUGUGGGAUUUUGUAUGUACCAUAUGAAUAAGGAUAGGCUAACUCCGUGCCAGCAGCCGCGGUAAUACGGAGGAUCCGAGCGUUAGCCGGAUUUAUUGGGUUUAAAGGGAGAGUAGGUGGUUUGUUAAGUCAUUUUUGAAAGUUUGCGGCUCAACCGUAAAAUUGCAGUUGAAACUGGCAGUCUUGCGUACAGUAGAGGUGUGCGGAAUUCGUGGUGUAGCGGUGACAUGCUUAGAUAUCACGAAGAACUCCGAUUGCGAAGGCAGUUCACUGGACUGCAACUGACACUGAGGCUCG